GGUGAACGCUGGCGGUAGGCCUAACACAUGCAAGUCGAACGGCAGCACAGUAAGAGCUUGCUCUUACGGGUGGCGAGUGGCGGACGGGUGAGGAAUACAUCGGAACCUACUUUUUCGUGGGGGAUAACGUAGGGAAACUUACGCUAAUACCGCAUACGACCUACGGGUGAAAGCAGGGGAUCUUCGGACCUUGCGCGAUUGAAUGAGCCGAUGUCGGAUUAGCUAGUUGGCGGGGUAAAGGCCCACCAAGGCGACGAUCCGUAGCUGGUCUGAGAGGAUGAUCAGCCACACUGGAACUGAGACACGGUCCAGACUCCUACGGGAGGCAGCAGUGGGGAAUAUUGGACAAUGGGCGCAAGCCUGAUCCAGCCAUACCGCGUGGGUGAAGAAGGCCUUCGGGUUGUAAAGCCCUUUUGUUGGGAAAGAAAAGCAGCAGGUUAAUACCCCGCUGUUCUGACGGUACCCAAAGAAUAAGCACCGGCUAACUUCGUG
Molecule: ribosomal RNA, 492 nt
Filed under: uncultured bacterium
Lineage: Bacteria
Description: partial 16S ribosomal RNA
Rfam family: Bacterial small subunit ribosomal RNA
Source: RNAcentral